UACGUAGGGGGCAAGCGUUGUCCGGAUUUAUUGGGCGUAAAGAGCGUGUAGGCGGCUGCUCAAGUCGAAUGUGAAAACUCGAGGCUCAACCUCGAGCCUGCAUUCGAUACUGGGCGGCUAGAGUCUGGUAGGGGGAUCUGGAAUUCCUGGUGUAGCGGUGGAAUGCGCAGAUAUCAGGAGGAACACCGGUGGCGAAGGCGGGAUCCUGGGCCAGUACUGACGCUGAGGAGCGAAAGCGUGGGGAGCAAACAGG
RNAcentral lists this ribosomal RNA (253 nucleotides) under uncultured bacterium. RNAcentral's name for it is "partial 16S ribosomal RNA". It matches the Rfam family "Bacterial small subunit ribosomal RNA", at positions 524 to 776 of the family's 1533-position model. The record is from RNAcentral.